Molecule: ribosomal RNA, 436 nt
Filed under: Acanthamoeba genotype T4
Lineage: Eukaryota; Discosea; Longamoebia; Acanthamoebidae
Description: partial 18S ribosomal RNA
Source: RNAcentral
UUGGGGUGCAGGUGGCGACGCAUCCCCGCGCCCCGGCCGAACCGAGACGCCAAGGAUGACCGCGCAACCGAUGGUGGUGUUUUGUAUUCAACGUCUCCUAAUCGCUGGUCGGCAUCGUUUAUGGUUAAGACUACGACGGUAUCUGAUCGUCUUCGAUCCCCUAACUUUCGUUCUUGAUUAAUGAAAACAUCCUUGGCAGAUGCUUUCGCAGAAGUUAAUCUUUCAUAAAUCCAAGAAUUUCACCUCUGACAAUUAAAUAUUAAUGCCCCCAACUAUCCCUAUUAAUCAUUACCCUAGUCCUCGCGCUGCCAAAACCAACUGAAAAUAGGAGGACAGGGUCCUAUUCCAUUAUCCCAUGCUAAUGUAUUCGGUGGCAGAAAAUUGGAUCUGCCUGCUUUGAACACUCUAAUUUUUUCACGGUAAACGAUCUGGGCCA